CUCCAUGAAGCUGGAUUCGCUAGUAAUCGCGCAUCAGCCACGGCGCGGUGAAUACGUUCCCGGGCCUUGUACACACCGCCCGUCAAGCCAUGGAAGCCGGGAGUGCCUGAAGUGCGUGAGCGCAAGCAGCGCCCUAAGGUAAAACCGGUGACUCGGGGCUAAGUCGUAACAAGGUAAC
This 178-nucleotide ribosomal RNA is filed under the name uncultured bacterium. Its description in RNAcentral is "partial 16S ribosomal RNA". It matches the Rfam family "Bacterial small subunit ribosomal RNA", at positions 1316 to 1500 of the family's 1533-position model. The record is from RNAcentral.